Molecule: ribosomal RNA, 497 nt
Filed under: uncultured bacterium
Lineage: Bacteria
Description: partial 16S ribosomal RNA
Rfam family: Bacterial small subunit ribosomal RNA
Source: RNAcentral
GAUGAACGCUGGCGGCGUGCCUAAUACAUGCAAGUCGAGCGAACAGACGAGGAGCUUGCUCCUCUGACGUUAGCGGCGGACGGGUGAGUAACACGUGGAUAACCUACCUAUAAGACUGGGAGAACUUCGGGAAACCGGAGCUAAUACCGGAUAAUAUAUUGAACCGCAUGGUUCAAUAGUGAAAGACGGUUUUGCUGUCACUUAUAGAUGGAUCCGCGCCGCAUGAGCUAGUUGGUAAGGUAACGGCUUACCAAGGCAACGAUGCGUAGCCGACCUGAGAGGGGGAUCGGCCACACUGGAACUGAGCCACGGUCCAGACUACUACGGGAGGCAGCAGUAGGGAAUCUUACGCAAUGGGCGAAAGCCUGACGGAGCAACGCCGCGUGAGUGAUGAAGGUCUUCGGAUCGUAAAACUCUGUUAUUAGGGAAGAACAAAUGUGUAAGUAACUAUGCACGUCUUGACGGUACCUAAUCAGAAAGCCACGGCUAACUACGUG